UUGAACGCUGGCGGCAUGCCUAACACAUGCAAGUCGAACGUGAAAGGGGGUAACCCUGAGUAAAGUGGCGGACUGGUGAGUAAUACGUAGGAAUCUGCCCUAAAGUGGGGGAUAACCACGCGAAAGCGUGGCUAAUACCGCAUAAUCUCUACGGAGUAAAGGCCCCAUAUCUUCGGAUGUGGGGUCGCUUUAGGAUGAGCCUACGGCGGAUUAGCUUGUUGGUAGGGUAAUGGCCUACCAAGGCGACGAUCCGUAGCUGGUUUGAGAGAACGACCAGCCACACUGGACUGAGAUACGGCCCAGACUCCUACGGGAGGCAGCAGUGGGGAAUAUUGGACAAUGGGGGAAACCCUGAUCCAGCAAUGCCGCGUGUGCGAUGAAGGCCUGCGGGUUGUAAAGCACUUUCGGUGGGGAAGAAAUGCUCAGGGCUAAUAACUCUGAGAGUUGACAUUACCCACAGAAGAAGCACCGGCUAACUCUGU
Molecule: ribosomal RNA, 482 nt
Filed under: uncultured bacterium
Lineage: Bacteria
Description: bacterial SSU rRNA
Rfam family: Bacterial small subunit ribosomal RNA
Source: RNAcentral